GACGAACGCUGGCGGCGUGCUUAACACAUGCAAGUCGAACGGAAAGGCCCUGCUUUUGUGGGGUGCUCGAGUGGCGAACGGGUGAGUAACACGUGAGUAACCUGCCCUUGACUUUGGGAUAACUUCAGGAAACUGGGGCUAAUACCGGAUAGGAGCUCCUGCUACAUGGUGGGGGUUGGAAAGUUUCGGCGGUGGGGGAUGGACUCGCGGCUUAUCAGCUUGUUGGUGGGGUAGUGGCGUACCAAGGCUUUGACGGGUAGCCGGCCUGAGAGGGUGACCGGCCACCUUGGGACUGCGAUACGGCCCAGACUCCUACGGGCGGCAGCAGUGGGGAAUAUUGCACAAUGGGCGGACGCCUGAUGCAGCAACGCCGCGUGCGGGAUGACGGCCUUCGGGUUGUAAACCGCUUUCGCCUGUGACGAAGCGUGAGUGACGGUAAUGGGUAAAGAAGCACCGGCUAACUACGUG
RNAcentral lists this ribosomal RNA (468 nucleotides) under uncultured bacterium. Its description in RNAcentral is "partial 16S ribosomal RNA". It matches the Rfam family "Bacterial small subunit ribosomal RNA", at positions 28 to 507 of the family's 1533-position model. The record is from RNAcentral.